RNAcentral lists this ribosomal RNA (253 nucleotides) under uncultured bacterium. RNAcentral's name for it is "partial 16S ribosomal RNA". It matches the Rfam family "Bacterial small subunit ribosomal RNA", at positions 524 to 776 of the family's 1533-position model. The record is from RNAcentral.
UACGUAGGGUGCGAGCGUUGUCCGGAAUUAUUGGGCGUAAAGGGCUCGUAGGCGGUUUGUCGCGUCGGGAGUGAAAACCAGGUGCUUAACACCUGGCUUGCUUUCGAUACGGGCAGACUAGAGGUAUGCAGGGGAGAACGGAAUUCCUGGUGUAGCGGUGAAAUGCGCAGAUAUCAGGAGGAACACCGGUGGCGAAGGCGGUUCUCUGGGCCUGACCUGACGCUGAGGAGCGAAAGUGUGGGGAGCGAACAGG